UUUCAGGUGGGUUUGCCAUUAGCAAAUGUUCUGUGCCCAAAGAUUACAUCACAUCACUAAGCUCACUUACCCAUAGCAGGUGACACAAGCCAAAGAAGAAAGAAAAUUGCUUGUUUGAGAGUGAGAAAGAGAAGUCGUGAGUGAGAGGAGAGGGGGAGAGGUCAUCAGUGAGAGGAGAGCUUUCACAUUCAGUAUGGAGGAGCCAGGAUUUCUCAGAUGACUCUGAAGCAGAUCUAACAGAUGUUGAUGAGAAAGCGACUGAGAGGAAGAACUUGGAUCCAAGUGGAUUAUUCAUGGAGUAUUCUCAAUGCAUAAAGCGGUGCCAGAAUGAACGAUGACUGAAGAAGUUCUGAAUGCACAGUUCUGAAUGCACCACUCAUUUCUCACAGUGAGUGGUGGAUGUUGGUAACCCACACAGGACUGUAAGCAGCAACUGGAAAGCCUGGCUGAGUGAUGAGAAUUAAAGAACAAGCUGAUGUUCAGUCACUGUGGUAUUUAUUGCAGCAAACUACAUCUUAAAAUUACUGGUUAUCUUGGAAAUGGCUGCGGACUAGUCAGGCUGUAAAACUGUCAGUUUUACUACGAUAUGGGCACUGAAUUCAUGAUUGUUUUCAGUGAUGUGAGAAAAAUAGAAGACAGUCAUCAAAAGUGUCUUCAAAAGGAAAUGAGCCAGCUAUCAUGUUGAAAAUGGCUGUUUUGUCUCUUUGAAUUCUGUCUGAGAAACAAGCUUUCAUACUGAUUUCAGGUUUGAAGGCACAGGUGAUUUAUGGCUGUCAAGAUUACCCUAAUUACCUGAGUUGUUCAUGUGUCUCAGUGAAUGGACUGCCAGUUUACAGGUGUGCUCAGUGUGGAGAAGACCCUGAAGGACACCUAUGUGAGAUGAGACUUAAGCAAAACAUUCUGAAAUCAGAGUAAAGAAAAACUGAAAACAUUUUUUAAAGUACUUAGAGAUUCAGGUAAUC
RNAcentral lists this long non-coding RNA (962 nucleotides) under Anser brachyrhynchus (Pink-footed goose). RNAcentral's name for it is "lncRNA (ENSABRG00000012871.1)". The record is from RNAcentral. Lineage: Eukaryota; Metazoa; Chordata; Aves; Anseriformes; Anatidae.